AAAAGGUCAUCUUCUCGACCAAACAUAGACUGACGCAAUUUUUUUUCUUUCUCCUGGGGGCUCUUGAUCUUACCAUCAUCUUCAUCGAACAAAGGGGAGGAGAAACCUAUUGUUUUGAGCAAAAACAAGAGGGGAUGCCAUUUUUUGGCCCUUCCUUUCUUCUAGUUCGCGACACACAUAUAUCCACACACCCAAAAUCACAUACCCCCAUAGAAACAGAGAGGGAGAGAGAUGGGAAGGAUGAGAGAGACACCAAAAGAGAAGAAGUUGACUAUAGAUCGAGUUUCUGGCCACUCUUUACUGGAAAACACUUCUCUAGCUCUGAUUUAACUUUGAAAUCCAUUAAUAACUCGAUCUAAACCAUCUCCAUUGUUGAAAACCAUGAUUGAGUAGUUUAAACCAUUCUAAAAUUGUUAUGUUUUGGGGCGAUUCUGACCAUUUUGAGUUUAAUUUUGUCAUGUACGAGGUCAAUUUUGGUUUGUUCGGUUUAAUUCUGUCAGUUCGGUUUAGUUUCAGCUCGUCGGGGGUUUGUGUUGAAUACUCUCAAGUCAUUUUCAUGGAUUUUGGUAUUUGAAUCAGAAUGCGAGUUCGGGUUUUGUACUGAAUUGGUUCAUUGUUGAGGCUUUCUAUUCAGGAUUCC
RNAcentral lists this long non-coding RNA (640 nucleotides) under Capsicum annuum. Its description in RNAcentral is "long non-coding RNA (CANN_LNC014935)". The record is from RNAcentral. Lineage: Eukaryota; Viridiplantae; Streptophyta; Magnoliopsida; Solanales; Solanaceae.